UCUUUCAUCAAAGAUUUUAUCGCUGAGAGAUGGGCUCGCGGCCGAUUAGGUAGUUGGUGAGAUAACAGCCCACCAAGCCGACGAUCGGUAGCCGGACUGAGAGGUUGAACGGCCACAUUGGGACUGAGACACGGCCCAGACUCCUACGGGAGGCAGCAGUGGGGGAUAUUGCACAAUGGAGGAAACUCUGAUGCAGCGACGCCGCGUGAGGGAAGACGGUCUUCGGAUUGUAAACCUCUGUCUUUAGGGACGAAAAAAUGACGGUACCUAAGGAGGAAGCCACGGCUAACUACGUGCCAGCAGCCGCGGUAAUACGUAGGUGGCAAGCGUUGUCCGGAAUUACUGGGUGUAAAGGGAGCGUAGGCGGGGAGACAAGUUGAAUGUUUAAACUAUCGGCUCAACUGAUAGUCGCGUUCAAAACUAUCACUCUUGAGUGCAGUAGAGGUAGGCGGAAUUCCUAGUGUAGCGGUGAAAUGCGUAGAUAUUAGGAGGAACACCAGUGGCGAAGGCGGCCUACUGGGCUGUAACUGACGCUGAGGCUCGAAAGCGUGGGUAGCAAACAGGAUUAGAUACCCUGGUAGUCCACGCCGUAAACGAUGAUUACUAGGUGUGGGGGGACUGACCCCUUCCGUGCCGGAGU
This 640-nucleotide ribosomal RNA is filed under the name uncultured bacterium. Its description in RNAcentral is "bacterial SSU rRNA". It matches the Rfam family "Bacterial small subunit ribosomal RNA", at positions 194 to 852 of the family's 1533-position model. The record is from RNAcentral.